AGAGUUUGAUCAUGGCUCAGGAUGAACGCUAGCUACAGGCUUAACACAUGCAAGUCGAGGGGAAACGAUAGAGAAAGCUUGCUUUUUCUAGGCGUCGACCGGCGCACGGGUGAGUAACGCGUAUCCAACCUGCCCACCACUUGGGGAUAACCUUGCGAAAGUAAGACUAAUACCCAAUGACGCCUCUAGAAGACAUCUGAAAGGGAUUAAAGAUUUAUCGGUGAUGGAUGGGGAUGCGUCUGAUUAGCUUGUUGGCGGGGUAACGGCCCACCAAGGCAACGAUCAGUAGGGGUUCUGAGAGGAAGGUCCCCCACAUUGGAACUGAGACACGGUCCAAACUCCUACGGGAGGCAGCAGUGAGGAAUAUUGGUCAAUGGGCGAGAGCCUGAACCAGCCAAGUAGCGUGCAGGAUGACGGCCCUAUGGGUUGUAAACUGCUUUUAUAAGGGAAUAAAGUGAGCCUCGUGAGGCUUUUUGCAUGUACCUUAUGAAUAAGGACCGGCUAAUUCCGUGCCAGCAGCCGCGGUAAUACGGAAGGUCCGGGCGUUAUCCGGAUUUAUUGGGUUUAAAGGGAGCGUAGGCCGGAGAUUAAGCGUGUUGUGAAAUGUAGAUGCUCAACAUCUGCACUGCAGCGCGAACUGGUUUCCUUGAGUACGCACAAAGUGGGCGGAAUUCGUGGUGUAGCGGUGAAAUGCUUAGAUAUCACGAAGAACUCCGAUUGCGAAGGCAGCUCACUGGAGCGCAACUGACGCUGAAGCUCGAAAGUGCGGGUAUCGAACAGGAUUAGAUACCCUGGUAGUCCGCACGGUAAACGAUGGAUGCCCGCUGUUGGUCUGAAUAGGUCAGCGGCCAAGCGAAAGCAUUAAGCA
This 868-nucleotide ribosomal RNA is filed under the name uncultured bacterium. RNAcentral's name for it is "bacterial SSU rRNA". It matches the Rfam family "Bacterial small subunit ribosomal RNA", at positions 8 to 866 of the family's 1533-position model. The record is from RNAcentral.